Molecule: long non-coding RNA, 3188 nt
Organism: Equus caballus (horse)
Lineage: Eukaryota; Metazoa; Chordata; Mammalia; Perissodactyla; Equidae
Source: Ensembl
CUCUGGGUCCACCUGCUGGUGCAGCGUUUCUACAGCUUCUCUCUCGCUGAGCCUUCGCUCUGCGAGGCUGCGGCUCCCAGCAGCAUGGGGAUGAGCAACAGCGUGCCCAGGCGCAAAGUCUAGCAUGGGUGCCCCGAGAGAUGCAGGGCACCGCAGGGCUGAGGCAGAGGAUUUCUGUGGUUCGGAGACUGAAUGCAGCGUUGACACCGUGGCUCUCAGGGGUCUGCACCUCACCCUUAUGGCCGGGACAGAGGACAGACGCCUGCUGGAGGCCGUGAUCCUGCAGGGGCCUUCUUGCCGGGCCUCCUUCCUCCCCCUUUCUCACACUCCUCCUUCCAGGACCGUGUCGGCAGAAGAAAGGUCGCCUCAGCAGGAUUCUUUGUUAGUGUGUCCGUCAACUCGCGUUCACCCUGCUCCUUUCGAGGUCAGAGGCUUGCAGCUUUGCGAGCAGCCCUCUCCAUCACUGGACAGCUCUCGCAGGGAAAGAGCACGUCCUCACGCUGAGCCAGGGUCUGCCACCUGGGGCCUUCCUCCCAGGGCUUCUGGAGCAUGUCACAUGAAGUCCCACCCCUCCUCCACAGGAGAGCGCUUCAAGUGUCUGAAGACUGUAAUUUCAUCUUCUCUGAGUGUCCUGUUAUUCAGAACAAGCAUUUCAAAGGCUCUCAACUAUUCUUCAAAUUACACGGUUGCUGCACCGUCACUUUCUGCUUGCUCUCUACCAGAGGCUCCCCAGCCUGUCCAAGUGCUGAGUGUGUACUCUUGACGAACGCUGAGCAGAGGACCUGAGGAUUAUAGUCUUCCUUAAUUGACAUUACCCCUAGCAACGCAGUCUGGUCUUUGAAAGUUUUAUGAGAACCUUGCCAUUUUACUAGCUCAAAAUGGACUUGUGGUCAGCUAACCCCAUGCCACUCCCCAAACUCAGGGUCUUAUAUUGUCAGCUUAUUUGAGCCAGAGUAUGGGACCUUCUAUGUGCAUGGUUAAGUAGGAAGAGACUGCUUCUCAGGGAAAGUAGGCAUUUCCUCUAAGAUCCCACAACUAGUAACUGAGGUUUUAGCAUAUCAUGCCUUGACAGCACAUCAAAGUCUUUUUCAAUCUUGACUCUAUCAUCCAAGAAAUUAGCAGAAUCAAAACAAAACAAAACAAAAAUAAAAAGAGCGCUUCAAUGAUUCAGGCAUUGUAUAAGUGCUUUUUGUAAAUUAACAACUUUAUGAGGUAGCACCUAUGACCAUGUCCAUUUUAGGGUUGAAGGAGCUGAGACACAGAGAAAUUAAUAACUUGCCUAAGGUCACAGAGGUGAUAAUGGCAGAGCUGGAUUCACACGCAGGCAGUCCGGCUUCAGAAGAGGUGGGCUUAACCACGAUGCCUCUCAGACCAACCUUCCCAAUUUUCUGUCUUCUGUAGAUUUAUAAAAAUGUCUUUGAUUUUAAGAAUAUGGUCGUUUAUUUAUUUUCUCAGCACUUGCUGACCCCAGCCCUUAUGCUCGGCACUGAAUACACACGUACAGGACAGACGAGGGGAACGUCAGGCACAGGAUGAUGUUAGUCGUAAGUGACAGAAACCUGGCUCAAACUAGACUAAGUUAAAAGGAUUUAUUGGCUGAUAUAUCCAGAGUAUCAGAGGAGUAGAUCUUGGUUUAGAGACAACGGGAUCUAGAGGCAAAGAUGCGGUGGCUUGGCGAUGGGUGGGUUUGUUACCAGGAGAAGAUGAAGGAGAGCCUGCCAGGCAGAGGGAACCAAGAGCAUUACUGCAGAGGGCCGUGUGUGGCUACGAGCAACAGGGGCCUGUCCUGGCUGCCUCGAAGAUGCAGGAAAUCUCUUAGAAGGUGUGGGCUGGCUUUCAAAGUCGUAAAAUCAGCUCACCAGGAACAAGCACUAGGGCAGCUCGAGUGAGCCAAGGGGCGUGAGGUGCUCACACCAGCACCUUCCCUAGAAUGGAGCAGUGCCGAUUCUCUUUCCUCACGUCUCUCCGCUCAAGGUUAAUGAGACACAUUUGCAAACCAAUUAGAAGGGGUACAAUUUAAAAGACUGGCCAUACCGAGUGCUGAUGAGCAUGUGGAGGAGUAGGAGCCCUCAGAUACUGUUGGUGGGACUGUAAAACUGCACAGCCCCUUUGCAAAACAGUUCGGUUGUUUCUUAAAACGUUAAAUCUGCAUUUGUCAUCUGACCCAAUGAUUUUACCCCUAGAUAUUUACCCGAGAGAAAUGGAAGCAUGUGCAUAUACUAAGACUGGACAUGAAUGUUCAUAGCACUUUGCUUAUAAUAGUCCCAAACUGGAAACAACCCAAAUGCCCAUCAAAAGGCAAAUGGAUAAACAAACUGGUGUAUCCACACAAUGGAAUACUACUCAGCAGUAAAAAGGAAUGAACUGUUGAUGCACACAAUGGCAUUAUAUAAAAUUCUAAAAAAUGCAAACUAAUCUGUAGUGACAGAAAGGAGAUUAGUGGUCUUCCAGGGAGAGCAGCUAGAAGAAGAAAUUACAAAGGAAAACAAGAAAACUUUUUGGGGUGAUGGAUAUGUUUAUUAUCUUGAUUGUGGUGAUGGUUUCAUGGGUAUAUACAUAUGUCUAAAUGUAUCAAAGUGUACGUUUUAAAUAUGUACAGUUUGUCAUAUGUCAAUUAUACCUCAAAAAAGCUGUUAAAAAUGUUCUCUACAAAGUCUCAACUAAAGAUUUGGAAAAGAGUGGCUGGCCCCGUGGCAGAGUGGUUAAGUUCACACACUCCACUUCAGUGGCCCGGGGUUCACAGGUUUGGAUCCUGAGUACAGACCUAUACACAGCUCAUCAAGCCAUGCUGUGGCUGCAUCCCACAUAAAAGAACUAGAAUGACUUGCAAGUAGGAUUUGCAAAUAUGUACUGGGGCUUUGGGGAGAAAAAAAAGAUUUGGAAAAGAGGUGAUAAUGCUACUCCUCUCCCAAUCACUCCUGUCAGAGAAAUUAUUAAAUGUGUGCUAAUUUCUUAAUGUGUGUUUUCUAAGUUCAUCGUUGGAGGUGUUGGCUCUGGUGGAAGUGAAAUUUCUUGGGGAAUACAGCAUUUACUUAAUGAUUUCAUACAGCCCAGCACAUUUCUACACGGGAAACUAGUGAAUCAAUAAAUCAGAUUUUUUAUGUUUGUAGGAACAUCAGAAAUCAUCUAGUUCAACUUGACAUUUAGUAAGUGAAAAAAUGAGAAUCAGUGAAAUAAUUUGCCUGCAG